RNAcentral lists this long non-coding RNA (786 nucleotides) under Rattus norvegicus (Norway rat). RNAcentral's name for it is "long non-coding RNA NONRATT021598". Lineage: Eukaryota; Metazoa; Chordata; Mammalia; Rodentia; Muridae. The record is from RNAcentral.
GUAAAGGAGAAGAUGCCACACGGGAGGUCCUUCUGAAUACAAGACCUUUCCCCUCACCGCUGAGAUAAGCUCAAAUUCAAGCCCGGCCGCCACCGAAUGGUUCAAUGCCCAGCGUCCAGACAGGCCCAGAGCGCCGUCUACGCCUAUGCACGGCGGAUCCCCUAGCCUGCAUCGGCCUCGUUCUUAUUGAAAUCCCACUGAAAAGAUUCCGACUCCGACUUGGGCAGGGGAAGACUUCCAUACCCUACGCUCUCCCCCACCUGCACCCUCGCCACACAGGAUAAAAGGCCGCGGGGCGCUUCGAGCGGGGGGCACAAGCAGGAGCGAGCCGGGUUAAGCCGUGCAAAGCCGGUGCACGGGACUAGCCGGCAGGUGCAGCCAGCGCCCGGGCAGCCCUGCUUGGGCGCAUCCGUUGCCGCGACCCGGGGGUGGGGAACCACAGAGACAAAGGCCCCAGCUCUAGGGUGGGAGGGGGGCGCGUCGCAAAGCUCUGGAAAGCCGGGUCUCCAGGUCCAGAGCUCCGGAAAAACGGAAGACAGGAGGCCCCAGGCGGGCCUUUGGGUUUCCGGAUGACCUGGGUUUGAGGCACUGGAAGGAUUGUGCGAUCCGGUUGUUGGGAAGGCCCAGCCUGGGACCGGGAGGCUCGGGACGGCGCGGGCCGAGUGCAGGAACUUACCGACUGCGGCGCGGUGGGCGGCGCCCUCGGGCGGCUACGGCCAGGGCUCAGAAAGGAGGCAGCGGUGUGCGCAGCGUGGCUGGUCGGCCCUCGGGAGCCAGGGCGGCCGC